This is a long non-coding RNA of Mauremys reevesii (Reeves's turtle), 1261 nucleotides long. RefSeq lists it as uncharacterized. NCBI's taxonomy places the organism in Eukaryota, Metazoa, Chordata, Testudines, Geoemydidae. The transcript is spliced from 6 exons. The record is from RefSeq and is a predicted model, not a curated record.
CCAAACCCUGGAGCAGAUCCUCAGCUGGUGAAAACUGUCAAAGCUCCAUUGAUUGAUCCUCAGCUGGCCUGAAUUAGCAGAGCUCCACUGACUUCAAUGGAACACACUAGCUGAGCAUCUGCCCCAUCCUUUGAGAGGGAGACAGUUUCCCAAAAUUCUCACUCACACAAUCAAAGUGCUUGUUUCCCAUGGUGUAACUAUCAGCUUAGGACGGUGUUCCCCAGUAUGCCUAGGGAUUCAAGCUCAAUCAGAUGCUAGCUAUAGCUGCUGCAGGCCAGUUAGUGUAAGGUACUGCCUCCUCUUCAGAAGAAUGAAAAAUUGUAUUCACUGAAUCCCCACAAGCCAAUAAAACUCCCAAACAGGAGGUGGCCGUUAAACCGUGGAGACUUCUUAUAACAAAAAAUAGACACAUACGAAGGAGUAAUCUGGAAAAGUAGAUGGGACAACGCUCCAGGAAUCAGCUGAUGGCCUCUCCUGGUGGUAAAUUGGAAUUGGCAGGAGCCGAUGGAAUGUAUUGCUCUCUGGAUAUGAAGAUACAGGUGGCAGAAGAUCAGGAUUCUUUUCUAACAGGUUCAUAACCUGUGUUGUAUUUGCCCCUGUUCUCGGACAGUAAUCUUCCCACUGCCAUUCGGGGCCUCAAAACCUCACUGCUGGGCUAUUGUAAAUCCCUCUUGUUCAGACUGCCAAAGGAUUCUAUCCCUUGCAGCUAGUGCUGAAUGUGGCAGCACACUUCCUCACUGGAGUAGAAGUUAAGACUGUCUCCCUAAACUGGUGUCUGAUUACAUGAACAAGAAAUGUUACCCAGAUGCAUUAAUAACCCACAUUUUGCCUUUUGAUAAAAUCAAUGAAGGAUUUGAAUUGCUGCAGACAUGGAAAAGAAACGAGCAGUUUGGAAAUUGAUUUGGAUGAACCAGCUCUGAUAGUAUAGGAUCUCUGUGGGCUCUGCCAUUUUUGUGAUUUCUCUGGAGGAAAAUUCUGAGAAAGAGGUGUUUGAAUUUCCAUAGACCCUGGGGCAGGUGAGUCAUAUGUGAAUGGAUGGAUCCACUAGUCCUGGUAUAUGCAUCACAAUUUGAGCAGCCACUUUAUCAUGCCAGGAAAGCCUCAACCUGUACACAGAUGUAGCAAACACAUUGCUGGCUUGUUACAAAACGUUCACUGAAAAUCAGGACUAUAUGUGGUGGCUCUCCAGUAUCUUUGAAGAAGGUCAUGGACAAAGCAAUGCUAUUGCCAGGUCCUGCCAUAGCUAUUAAUGCUACUCUAA